AUCUGAUCUCCAGCUCAGUCUGUAGAGCGUGAGACUCUUAAUCUCGGGGCCAGGGGUUUGAGCCCCCUGUUGGGUG
This is a non-coding RNA of Podarcis lilfordi (Lilford's wall lizard), 76 nucleotides long. Lineage: Eukaryota; Metazoa; Chordata; Lepidosauria; Squamata; Lacertidae. The record is from the annotation of a GenBank genome assembly.